RNAcentral lists this transfer RNA (64 nucleotides) under human gut metagenome. It matches the Rfam family "tRNA", at positions 6 to 65 of the family's 71-position model. From Rfam's summary of the family: Transfer RNA (tRNA) molecules are approximately 80 nucleotides in length. Their secondary structure includes four short double-helical elements and three loops (D, anti-codon, and T loops). Further hydrogen bonds mediate the characteristic L-shaped molecular structure. tRNAs have two regions of fundamental functional importance: the anti-codon, which is responsible for specific mRNA codon recognition, and the 3' end, to which the tRNAs corresponding amino acid is attached (by aminoacyl-tRNA synthetases). tRNAs cope with the degeneracy of the genetic code in two manners: having more than one tRNA (with a specific anti-codon) for a particular amino acid; and 'wobble' base-pairing, i.e. permitting non-standard base-pairing at the 3rd anti-codon position. The record is from RNAcentral. RNAcentral also lists the same sequence under 1 other name.
UUUAGCUCAGUUGGUAGAGCAACUGACUCUUAAUCAGUGGGUCCCGGGUUCGAGUCCCUGAAGG